AUGAACGCUGGCGGCGUGCCUAAUACAUGCAAGUCGAGCGAACGGACGAGAAGCUUGCUUCUCUGAUGUUAGCGGCGGACGGGUGAGUAACACGUGGAUAACCUACCUAUAAGACUGGGAUAACUUCGGGAAACCGGAGCUAAUACCGGAUAAUAUUUUGAACCGCAUGGUUCAAAAGUGAAAGACGGUCUUGCUGUCACUUAUAGAUGGAUCCGCGCUGCAUUAGCUAGUUGGUAAGGUAACGGCUUACCAAGGCAACGAUGCAUAGCCGACCUGAGAGGGGGGUGGAACAAACUGGAAGUGAGGCACGGUGCGAAGACAGACGGGAGGCAGACGUGGGGAAAAUGACGCAGUGGGCGAAAGCAUAACACAGGAAUAACGGGAAAGAGAUGAAGAGCAUCGGAUGGUAAAAAUCUGUUGGUUAGGAAGAAAAAAUGCGGAAGCAACUUGCGACACCUUGGAGGUAACUAAAGAGAAAGGCACAACAAAGUACAGG
Molecule: ribosomal RNA, 496 nt
Filed under: uncultured bacterium
Lineage: Bacteria
Description: partial 16S ribosomal RNA
Rfam family: Bacterial small subunit ribosomal RNA
Source: RNAcentral